CCAGACUCCUACGGGAGGCAGCAGUGGGGAAUAUUGCACAAUGGGGGAAACCCUGAUGCAGCAACGCCGCGUGAGUGAAGAAGUAUUUCGGUAUGUAAAGCUCUAUCAGCAGGGAAGAAAAUGACGGUACCUGAGUAAGAAGCCCCGGCUAACUACGUGCCAGCAGCCGCGGUAAUACGUAGGGGGCAAGCGUUAUCCGGAUUUACUGGGUGUAAAGGGAGCGUAGACGGCGAUACAAGUCUGAAGUGAAAGCCCGGGGCUCAACCCCGGGACUGCUUUGGAAACUGCGGGACUGGAGUGUCGGAGGGGUAAGCGGAAUUCCUGGUGUAGCGGUGAAAUGCGUGGAUAUCAGGAGGAACACCGGUGGCGAAGGCGGCUUACUGGACGAUGACUGACGCUGAGGCUCGAAAGCGUGGGGAGCAAACAGGAUUAGAUACCCCUGUAA
RNAcentral lists this ribosomal RNA (445 nucleotides) under uncultured bacterium. Its description in RNAcentral is "bacterial SSU rRNA". It matches the Rfam family "Bacterial small subunit ribosomal RNA", at positions 331 to 793 of the family's 1533-position model. The record is from RNAcentral.